RNAcentral lists this ribosomal RNA (484 nucleotides) under uncultured bacterium. RNAcentral describes it as "partial 16S ribosomal RNA". It matches the Rfam family "Bacterial small subunit ribosomal RNA", at positions 30 to 507 of the family's 1533-position model. The record is from RNAcentral.
AUUGAACGCUGGCGGCAGGCCUAACACAUGCAAGUCGAGCGGACGAAGGGAGCUUGCUCCUGGAUUCAGCGGCGGACGGGUGAGUAAUGCCUAGGAAUCUGCCUGGUAGUGGGGGAUAACGUCCGGAAACGGGCGCUAAUACCGCAUACGUCCUGAGGGAGAAAGUGGGGGAUCUUCGGACCUCACGCUAUCAGAUGAGCCUAGGUCGGAUUAGCUAGUUGGUGGGGUAAAGACCUACCAAGGCGACGAUCCGUAACUGGUCUGAGAGGAUGAUCAGUCACACUGGAACUGAGACACGGUCCAGACUCCUACGGGAGGCAGCAGUGGGGAAUAUUGGACAAUGGGCGAAAGCCUGAUCCAGCCAUGCCGCGUGUGUGAAGAAGGUCUUCGGAUUGUAAAGCACUUUAAGUUGGGAGGAAGGGCAGUAAGUUAAUACCUUGCUGUUUUGACGUUACCAACAGAAUAAGCACCGGCUAACUUCGUG